CAUUAGCUCAGUUGGUAGAGCAGCGGAUUGAAAAUCCGCGUGUCCUUGGUUCGAAUCCGA
This 60-nucleotide transfer RNA is filed under the name marine eukaryotic metagenome. It matches the Rfam family "tRNA", at positions 8 to 62 of the family's 71-position model. From Rfam's summary of the family: Transfer RNA (tRNA) molecules are approximately 80 nucleotides in length. Their secondary structure includes four short double-helical elements and three loops (D, anti-codon, and T loops). Further hydrogen bonds mediate the characteristic L-shaped molecular structure. tRNAs have two regions of fundamental functional importance: the anti-codon, which is responsible for specific mRNA codon recognition, and the 3' end, to which the tRNAs corresponding amino acid is attached (by aminoacyl-tRNA synthetases). tRNAs cope with the degeneracy of the genetic code in two manners: having more than one tRNA (with a specific anti-codon) for a particular amino acid; and 'wobble' base-pairing, i.e. permitting non-standard base-pairing at the 3rd anti-codon position. The record is from RNAcentral.